AGGAAUUCCAAAGUAAACAGCUCUAAUUUUUUUUUUUUUUUUUUCUGUCCAGAAGGUGGAAAUGUCCUUGGAUCUGCCCCAGCCAAAGGCCGGAAAUGAAAAUGGGAAGUUCUGGAUUCUGUCAUGGUUUCUCCUAAUCUCUCUUCCCCUAAUGAUUUGUCCUUUCCUGGCCCUGGGAUUGGCUCCUUCUAAACUUCCGUACUUGCAAAGGUGCCAACCAGAAGGACUUGGAAGCCUAUGCUAGUUUGGAGCAUGCAAGAAUUUUCCUAAAAAUCUUUCCAGAAAUCUACUCUCUGUCAACACUACACUACAAUAUUGAAAAUGUAAGCAGACGUAUGGCCUCUCCCCAUCUCCCACUCUGCGACCUGCAGAUGAGGGAAAGCUUCAGCCAGAUUGGGAUUAAAAGACUCCUCUUUACUCUUGUGAUCAAAGCACACUACCAGCCACAAGACUUGUCAGCAUCGCACCCUCCCGAUUCAGCCUGCUGACCGUUUGCCCAACAUUACUUCCACCGGAUUCUUAUAAAAUGUACAACCUACAUCUAACCGUGAGAAACAUCAAACCAACUCAGACUGGAGAACUGUCUAUAAAGGAGCUGUCAAGCCUCGACGUGAUGAAAGGCAAGAAAAGAAGUGUCACAGAGGAUGGAAAGCAGGACCUGGAGACACAAAUGUGUCAUUCCUGAAAAACGGGUUAAAAGCUCACAGAGGACCCACAGUUUGAUACAUGGCUUUUUAC
RNAcentral lists this long non-coding RNA (738 nucleotides) under Cricetulus griseus (Chinese hamster). RNAcentral describes it as "lncRNA (ENSCGRG00000025234.1)". Lineage: Eukaryota; Metazoa; Chordata; Mammalia; Rodentia; Cricetidae. The record is from RNAcentral.